UAUAUAUUAGUGUAAGAGCACAAAAAAUUUUGAUUUUUUAAGGGGUGGUUGAAAUCCAUUAUAUAUAA
Molecule: transfer RNA, 68 nt
Filed under: Chinapotamon maolanense
Lineage: Eukaryota; Metazoa; Arthropoda; Malacostraca; Decapoda; Potamidae
Description: tRNA-Gln
Rfam family: tRNA
About the family: Transfer RNA (tRNA) molecules are approximately 80 nucleotides in length. Their secondary structure includes four short double-helical elements and three loops (D, anti-codon, and T loops). Further hydrogen bonds mediate the characteristic L-shaped molecular structure. tRNAs have two regions of fundamental functional importance: the anti-codon, which is responsible for specific mRNA codon recognition, and the 3' end, to which the tRNAs corresponding amino acid is attached (by aminoacyl-tRNA synthetases). tRNAs cope with the degeneracy of the genetic code in two manners: having more than one tRNA (with a specific anti-codon) for a particular amino acid; and 'wobble' base-pairing, i.e. permitting non-standard base-pairing at the 3rd anti-codon position.
Source: RNAcentral